This 353-nucleotide unclassified non-coding RNA is filed under the name soil metagenome. RNAcentral describes it as "partial contains 5.8S ribosomal RNA, internal transcribed spacer 2, and large subunit ribosomal RNA". The stretch from base 1 to 119 matches the Rfam family "5.8S ribosomal RNA", at positions 35 to 154 of the family's 154-position model. The record is from RNAcentral.
GAUGAAGAACGUAGCGAAAUGCGAUAAGAAUGUGAAUUGCAGAAUUUAGUGAAUCAUCGAAUCUUUGAACGCAUAUUGCGCCCGCCAGCACUCUGGCGGGCAUGCCUGUUCGAGCGUCAUUUCAACCCUCAGGCCUCGCGUCUGGCGUUGGGGCGCUGCGGCCCUCCCGCAGGCCCCCAAAUCUAGCGGCGGAUCCGCCGCGGCCCUGAGCGCAGUAGUUUGACUCGAACGCUCCGGCGGCCGUGGCGCGGUUCUGCCUCCCGCCCCAUAGCGCCGAUGGCGCUACUCCCAAAAGUUGACCUCGGAUCAGGUAGGACUACCCGCUGAACUUAAGCAUAUCAAUAAGCGGAGGA